This 528-nucleotide ribosomal RNA is filed under the name uncultured euryarchaeote. RNAcentral's name for it is "bacterial SSU rRNA". It matches the Rfam family "Archaeal small subunit ribosomal RNA", at positions 339 to 868 of the family's 1478-position model. Lineage: Archaea; Methanobacteriati; Methanobacteriota. The record is from RNAcentral.
GCGCGAAACCUUUACAAUGCACGCAAGUGUGAUAAGGGGAUCCCCAGUGCUCAUGUACUGCAUGGGCUUUUGCCAAGUGUAAAUAGCUUGGCGAAUAAGUGGUGGGUAAGACUGGUGCCAGCCGCCGCGGUAACACCAGCGCCACGAGUGGCAACCGCGAUUAUUGGGCCUAAAGCGUCCGUAGCCGGUCCUGUAAAUCUUUUGUGAAAUUGUGCGGCUCAACCGAACAACGUGCAAGAGAGACUGCAGGACUCGAGACCGGGAGGAGUCAGAAGUAUUCCAGGGGGAGCGGUAAAAUGUUAUAAUCCCUGGAGGACUACCUGUGGCGAAGGCGUCUGACCAGAACGGAUCUGACGGUGAGGGACGAAAGCUAGGGGAGCGAACCGGAUUAGAUACCCGAGUAGUCCUAGCCGUAAACGCUGUGAGCUAGGUGUUGCGCCAGCGACCUGUUGGCGCAGUGUCGAAACGAAGGUGUUAAGCUCACCGCCUGGGAAGUACGGUCGCAAGACUGAAACUUUAAGGAAUUGG